CUCUCCUGUCCUGUCCCACGUCUCUGCGCCACUGGAUAAGACCCCAUUUCUGAACGCUGUAAACCAAAGCUUACAACUUCUGUCUUAUUUAUCGGUCAGUUGGCCAGAAUGUCUCACACUGUCAUUCCUGUGAACUCUUCAACGCUCAUCAUCCAGUUUCAGCCAGCAACACAAACAGCUCCUGAUACGAUGGUGACCAAUGCUCCUGUGCCUGUUUAUGUACAACAGGUGGCGGGAGCUUCACCUCUUCAAGGACUUCAGGCAUUUCUGAAAGGACAACCGAAAGCCCUCGGGAAGGUCCAGAUGAUGAUCGGUGUGCUGACUGUCCUGUCUGGCAUUGUGUCUUCAGUUUAUGGAGAAUCCUUCUUUGUCUAUAGUGGUUUUCAUUACUGGGGAUCUCUCAUCUACAUCAUCACAGGCUUAUCAUCACUAUGCAUUGCUGCAGAAAUUAAAAGGAAUUCACCCUCCAGUUUGUGUUUGGUGAAAGCUUCACUUGGAAUGAACAUUUUCUGUAUUAUAACUGCAGGCAUUGCCAUUAUUUUACUUUCACUGGAUUUUUUUAUAUGGCCACGCAAUUACUGCUAUGAAGAUGACAUGAUCUUGUGUUAUCAUUUCACGAGAAACCAUGAGGGAACGAGACGCUGCGUAGCUACCAAGCUAAAGUGCUGUCAUAUCUGUCCCGAUGAAGAACCAGAUAGUAUCUAUGGCUGGUUCAAGCGGACAAGACCCGGGAAGUCAAGAUAUAAAAUAUUGAAAACAUAGAACCUGAUAAAAGUGUGCGGAGAGGACCAUCCUGCCGCUACACAAAUAUCCUCCAGGGGGACUCCUCUAAAAAGAGCCUGAGAGGAAGCCACACUCCUGGUGGAAAGUGCCCGAAUCCUGAAAGGUGAAGAAAGACCAUGCACCUCGUAAGCAAGCGAAAUAGCUUCCCUGACCCAAUGAGAAAUUCUGUGCUUCGAUGCGGUGAGCCCACAGCAGCCAGCACCAAAGCAUACUAACAGCUGGGGAGAUUUUCUCCAACGGCUAGAACAGUCCACAUAGAACUUCAAAGCUUGGACAGGGCAGAGCAUGUGAAGUCUCUCAUCCUCGCCUGAAGCAAAUGGAGGAGGAUGGAAAGAGUGAAGAGUGACCACCUGAGAGCGAAAUGAUGUGGACAAAACCUUGGGAACGUAGCCUGGCCUGGGUCGGAAGGAUCUGGCUAAUUCGAUUCUUCGAACACACCUGUUGUUGAGGAUUAGUAUGGCUGGAUUGAGUUAUCUGAGAUAAACGUGCGUUCAUGGGUUGGUUUAAAAGGGCAGAUGUAUCAAUACUUGAAACCACGAUCAGCAAUGCAGCGAUUGGCUGACGUCAACGCAGCAACAUAAUGACGACAUAAUUAAAAAUUCUAGACUUUUAUAAGGAAACAGCCAGUGACUAUGACAGCAACUCCAGGAUGAGCUUCGAAGAACGAACCAAUCCAAGAUCAUGCCAAAUCGUCAACCGUCAAAUCCAGCUAACUGAGUCAAUGACGUACAAAGAACGGGCCCCUGAUGCUAAUUUGCACUGCUCUUGGUAGAUUGUGUUCGUCAUUACGGGUUAUUCACUCCCCCCACCAACAAUUCCUGCCGGACCUGAGACUCAAACCCGCGACAGUUGGGUUACAAGUCUGACUCUCUAUCCAUUAAGCCACGACUGCCCCAGAUGGUAGAUUCUGGACUGCUGAGCAUUCAGUGUACCAGUAGGGUUGCCACCCGUCCCUUAAAAUACAGAAUCUUCCCAUAUUUAAAGGUAAAUUGAUGCGUCCCGUAUCCAAUCAAUACAAACUGCGGUCAAGACAGCUGCGGUUCAGAAAAACACAGUAAUAUGCACACAAACUAAUUUCAAUUGCGGCUGGCUUGACUAUGAUUACAGUAAUUGCAGGAACAACAGAGAGAAUGCGCUUUCAGAGCACUUUUCAUUUAGACGCUCAGAUUUGAGAGAUAAUAUAACAAAAUGCCUUUUUUUUUAAUUUUUUUUAUUAAUUUUAUUAUUUUAAUUUAUUUAUUGGUGUCUUGAACUGUUGUGUGUUACUAUAGUUUUCUACAUUUCAAAUCAUAGCAGGAUUCCUAGAAAAUUAGAUAUAGGACAUGAUUAUACUUUAGAGGGCUAUAAAGACCCCAUUUCUAAUAAGUAGAAAAAAAACAACGGUCAGUUCUUAUACGGGACGUCCCAUACUAUAUGCACACCUAAUAUGACACUGUUUUACUGCACCAUUUUUGAGAUGUGACACAUUAUUACAUUUUACAGGGCUAUAAAGAUACUGGGUUUCAUUCACUAAACAUGCGUACGGACACAUUUUUGCAUGAAAUGUGCGUACGGACGUUUUCACGAAUAAAUCAUGAUUCAUCAAAAAUUUUGUACUAAAAUUUAUUCUAAAUAUAUGAAAAAAUUCAAGAACAAUUUAUACCACACGUACGCAAUAAUCAUGUACGCCCGGGGCCUUAUAAGCAUGUAUAAAGAACCCUACAUAUAAUUAGAUAUGUUAUUUACAGGGUGGGUGAAAAGUAAUUAGACAUUAAAAUUGAUAAUAAAGUAUAAUUAGAGGUCCAAUUAUAUAAAUAGAUAUAAUUAGAGGUCCAAACAACCACCUGAUCUAUCCUUAUAUAAAUGGUGAUUAUUGUGUCUCACCUUGUGUUUGGAGGCAUGGCACACUUGGUAUUGCUUGAAGACAUUGCGGCGCAUGCUCUAAGGAGAGAGCGCAUCUUUAGAGAGCGCACAGAUGUGUUUGCUGAGAGUGACGAAUGGCUGUUCAGUCGCUUUAGGUUGCCCAGAGAAGUCCUUAUUGAUUUAUGCAACUCACUGGAACCACACCUAAGCCAUAUCACCAACCGCGCUCACCCUAUACCACCUACUCUCCAAGUUCUGUGUACUAUCGGAUUACUUGCUACGGGAACAUUUCAAAGGGACCGAGCCGGAAUUUCCCAACCCUCUAUAAGCCGCGCUAUUCACAAGGUGGUAAAAGCUAUUGUAGGUCUUAUGCCAACUUAUGUAAAAUUUCCUUAUGCCAUGGCACACCAGAUGGUAGUUAAGAGGGGGUUCUAUGAGAUCAGUGGCAUACCUAAUACCAUCGGUGCAACAGACUGUAUCCAUGUGUGUAUCAAAUCACCAUCCGCAAAUGCAAUAAACUAUGUGAACAGAAAAAAUUACCACUCCAUCAAUGUUCAAAUAGUCUGCGAUGCCAGCUGUAACAUACUAAAUGUUGUUGCACGCUGGCCCGGAGGAACUCACGAUUCCUUUAUUUUACAAAACAGUUAUUUAGGACAGCGCUUGCAAGCUGGGGGUGGUGAAGAGGGAUGGCUUCUUGGUAAGUAGAAGUGUGCCAAGAAUAUUUUUUAGAUCAUUUAAAUAAAGGUUCAUUAUCAUGAUGCUUGUUGUAGGUGACAGGGGUUAUGGUCUCAAAACAUGGCUCAUGACACCUCUAGCCAACCCAACGACCCCUCAGGAAGUGCAAUACAACCUGAAACAUGCCCGUGCGCGCUCAGCAGUAGAACGCACAAUCGGGUUACUCAAAUCCCGUUGGAUGUGCUUGGAUGCAGCUGGUGGAAUGCUGUUAUACAGGCCAGAGAAAAUCUGUCAGUUUGUUUUAGCAUGUUGUGUACUGCACAACAUCGCAAUGGCACGGGGUGUACCUGCUCCUUAUGGACCACACACACAGCCGGAACCUGUGGGUGACGAGAUGCACGCGCCAGCCCAAGCAGCGCUUCAAGCACGCCUUCAGUUGAUACAACGUUUAUAAUGGCCAGCUGCCACAUCCUUAACGGCAAGUAUGAGGGCAUCUUGACUAGCGAGCACCUCGUCGGUCAGGACUCGUGCGCCGGUGCGCCUCUGUGAAGGAGUAUAACGAGUGGAUUGGGAAGUAGAUGACUGGACUUCAGCUUCUUCAUUUCCAUCUGCUGUCUGUGGAUGUUCUGCAAAAGCUGGAAGUUUUGAGUUAUGAUGAUUACUUGAAUACAUUCCUUAAAACAAAGAUUUAGAUUUAAGCAAAUUACCGUGUUGUAAUUGCUCCUGUAUUAGGUCACUCUCACCCUCACUCCGUUCUAUAAUGCUGCUCAAGCUUGACUGUCCUAUAAUUACAUUUACAUUUACAUUUACAUUUAGUCAUUUAGCAGACGCUUUUAUCCAAAGCGACUUACAAUUGGGGAAUACAUAGAGCGAUUAAUCUUGAAGAGGCAAUCAGACAUACGAAGUACUUGCAACACCAAGUCUCAGGCAUUGUUCAAAUAAAUACAAACUACCAAAGGAAGGAAUAAGUAAAGAUAAUUUUUUUUUUUUUUUAAGUUUAGGAUGAAGUCAAGUGCUGUCGAAAGAGAUGAGUUUUCAGUUGUUGCUUGAAGAUUGACAGGGAUCCAGCAUUCCGGAUAGAGGUGGGAAGAUCGUUCCACCAGCCAGGAAUGGUGAAUGAGAAUGAUCUAGAGAGUGAUUUUGCGCCUCUCUGUGAUGGUAUCACGAGGCGUCGCUCACUAGCAGAUCUCAGAUUUCUGGAGGGGAUGUAGUUUGUUAAUAGAGAGUGCAAGUAAACGGGUGCUGAGCCAGUGGUUGUUCUAUAUGCAAGCAUCAGUGUCUUGAACUUGAUGCGAGCCGUGAUUGGUAGCCAGUGCAGGGAGAUAAAGAGAGGUGUAACAUGGGCUCUUUUGGGCUCGUUGAAGACCAGUCGUGCCGCUGCAUUCUGAAUCAUUUGUAGAGGUUUGACUGUAUUAGACGGAAGUCCAGCCAGAAGAGCAUUGCAAUAGUCCAGCCUAGAAAUGACAAGGGCCUGGACAAGAAGUUGUGCAGCAUGCUCUGUCAGAAAGGGCCUGAUCUUUCUGAUGUUAUAUAGU
Molecule: RNA transcript, 4835 nt
Organism: Onychostoma macrolepis
Lineage: Eukaryota; Metazoa; Chordata; Actinopteri; Cypriniformes; Cyprinidae
Gene name: membrane-spanning 4-domains subfamily A member 4A-like
Exons: 7
Source: RefSeq, a predicted model, not a curated record